GCGGUCGUGGCGAAAUUGGUAGACGCGCAGCGUUGAGGUCGCUGUGGAGCGAUCCUUGGAAGUUCAAAUCUUCUCGACCGCACCA
This 85-nucleotide transfer RNA is filed under the name Holosporales bacterium. RNAcentral describes it as "tRNA-Leu". It matches the Rfam family "tRNA". Rfam says of the family: Transfer RNA (tRNA) molecules are approximately 80 nucleotides in length. Their secondary structure includes four short double-helical elements and three loops (D, anti-codon, and T loops). Lineage: Bacteria; Pseudomonadati; Pseudomonadota; Alphaproteobacteria; Holosporales. The record is from RNAcentral.